This 314-nucleotide unclassified non-coding RNA is filed under the name Hevea brasiliensis (rubber tree). The record is from RNAcentral. Lineage: Eukaryota; Viridiplantae; Streptophyta; Magnoliopsida; Malpighiales; Euphorbiaceae.
AGCCAAUUGGGUAAUUAAUUUAUUGAAUUUAUUAAGGUGAUCUUUGACAUCAAUACCUUCUUCCAUUCGAAGUUGGUACAACUCUUUCAAAUAUGAACGAUUUAUGAGUGACUUUGAUAUGUAUAAACUUUCUAAUUUCUUCCAGAAAAUAACUGGUGAAGUCUCUUUCAAGACAUUAUACUUCACAUCAGGGGCUAAUGUCAAAUUUAAUUGUACUUACUACCCUUUGUUGAAAUUUCUCUCAAUCAUCAUCUUUCAUGAUUGCCAAUUGUUUUUCGUUUAAAGUUUUGAUUAAUCCUUGUUGCACAAGGACA